Molecule: ribosomal RNA, 469 nt
Filed under: uncultured bacterium
Lineage: Bacteria
Description: bacterial SSU rRNA
Rfam family: Bacterial small subunit ribosomal RNA
Source: RNAcentral
UGCAAGUAGAGCGAAGCGCUUAAGUUUGAUUCUUCGGAUGAAGACUUUUGUGACUGAGCGGCGGACGGGUGAGUAACGCGUGGGUAACCUGCCUCAUACAGGGGGAUAACAGUUAGAAAUGACUGCUAAUACCGCAUAAGACCACGGUACCGCAUGGUACAGUGGUAAAAACUCCGGUGGUAUGAGAUGGACCCGCGUCUGAUUAGGUAGUUGGUGGGGUAACGGCCUACCAAGCCGACGAUCAGUAGCCGACCUGAGAGGGUGACCGGCCACAUUGGGACUGAGACACGGCCCAGACUCCUACGGGAGGCAGCAGUGGGGAAUAUUGCACAAUGGAGGAAACUCUGAUGCAGCGACGCCGCGUGAAGGAUGAAGUAUUUCGGUAUGUAAACUUCUAUCAGCAGGGAAGAAAAUGACGGUACCUGACUAAGAAGCCCCGGCUAACUACGUGCCAGCAGCCGCGGUAAUA